This 414-nucleotide ribosomal RNA is filed under the name uncultured microorganism. RNAcentral describes it as "bacterial SSU rRNA". It matches the Rfam family "Archaeal small subunit ribosomal RNA", at positions 459 to 872 of the family's 1478-position model. The record is from RNAcentral.
CAGCCGCCGCGGUAAUACCGGCGGCCCGAGUGGCGGUCACUAUUAUUGGGCUUAAAGCGUCCGUAGCCGGGUUGGGAAGUCCUCCGGGAAAUCUGGCCGCUUAACGGUCAGAAUGCCGGAGGAUACUCCCAGCCUAGGGAGCGGGAGAGGCCGAGGGUAUUCCCGGAGUAGGGGGGAAAUCCUAUAAUCCCGGGAGGACCACCUGUGGCGAAGGCGCUCGGCUGGAACGCGUCCGACGGUGAGGGACGAAGGCCAGGGGAGCAAACCGGAUUAGAUACCCGGGUAGUCCUGGCGGUAAACGAUGCGGACUUUGUGUCGGACAAGCUAUGAGCUUGUCCGGUGCCGGAGGGAAACCGUUAAGUCCGCCGCCUGGGGAGUACGGCCGCAAGGCUGAAAUUUAAAGGAAUUGGCGGG